This 588-nucleotide ribosomal RNA is filed under the name Staphylococcus aureus. RNAcentral describes it as "bacterial SSU rRNA". It matches the Rfam family "Bacterial small subunit ribosomal RNA", at positions 196 to 772 of the family's 1533-position model. Lineage: Bacteria; Bacillati; Bacillota; Bacilli; Caryophanales; Staphylococcaceae. The record is from RNAcentral.
AAAAGUGAAAGACGGUCUUGCUGUCACUUAUAGAUGGAUCCGCGCUGCAUUAGCUAGUUGGUAAGGUAACGGCUUACCAAGGCAACGAUGCAUAGCCGACCUGAGAGGGUGAUCGGCCACACUGGAACUGAGACACGGUCCAGACUCCUACGGGAGGCAGCAGUAGGGAAUCUUCCGCAAUGGGCGAAAGCCUGACGGAGCAACGCCGCGUGAGUGAUGAAGGUCUUCGGAUCGUAAAACUCUGUUAUUAGGGAAGAACAUAUGUGUAAGUAACUGUGCACAUCUUGACGGUACCUAAUCAGAAAGCCACGGCUAACUACGUGCCAGCAGCCGCGGUAAUACGUAGGUGGCAAGCGUUAUCCGGAAUUAUUGGGCGUAAAGCGCGCGUAGGCGGUUUUUUAAGUCUGAUGUGAAAGCCCACGGCUCAACCGUGGAGGGUCAUUGGAAACUGGAAAACUUGAGUGCAGAAGAGGAAAGUGGAAUUCCAUGUGUAGCGGUGAAAUGCGCAGAGAUAUGGAGGAACACCAGUGGCGAAGGCGACUUUCUGGUCUGUAACUGACGCUGAUGUGCGAAAGCGUGGGGAUCAAA